CUAAGGUGAAGCUUUGAGAUAAAGACGACUCCACCCAGAUCCUAUGCUUCCUUGCCUGGUCUUUCUCUCCGUCUUCCCACGCACACAAAAAUACAACACACAACGCAGAGACUUUAUAGGGAGACCGAGGACUAGACGGACCAUGAAUAGGGGAAGCCAGCUUCAAGGGGUUACAUAUGUAAGAAGUGUCUCGAUUGGUCUGUGAACGGAUAUAAGGAAGCUACUUCCGGGUAUGAGGAACAUCUGUUUGAUGCAAUGAGAAGGGAUAAAGAGAGCGACUGAUGGUUACAAGGACUAAAAAGUGUCACAAGGACUUUCAGCGUUUGGGCUAUGACAGCCAGAAGAUCACAAUUUCCUCCUAAAAGAAGCAUGCAGGCCAACGAGUUUUCACGGUGAAUUGAAGGGAAAGAAAGCCUUCAAUAAAUCAGUUCAAGAAAGCCAUUGUGUCAGUGCUAUGUGGAGGGAGCUACACUGCAAGCAGCAAUGGACGGGACUGAGUAUAUACGGAAGUUGCUGAGGAGAGGUUUCACGACAGGGUCGCAUUUUACUGCGUGGCACGUUCUCCCAAGAUGCAGACGGAACUCCGGAGGCAAGGUGCAGGUGAAACUUUACUAUGGAUCAGAGCGGUCAAGCGAACAUGGAUCCCAACCGAAUGUCAAGCAGCAGGUUUCGGUGAGAAAAUUGUGGUAAAAAGUCGCUUCUUGAGCUUGUGCCGCCCAUAAAGCUGCCGUCGACUUCCCUGAGACACUGGUGUCAACACACCCGUGGACACACACCUCCGACUAUCAGUAGAACGUGACCUUUCAGUCACGUCCGUAUCCUCUCUCCCCUCCCGCUCCUGGCCGCUUACUGUUAAAGACAGCAGAUGAUGAGAUUACAACGUGCCACCUGUGAAAUCCAAUCACCUGCCAGCCGUGUCUCGCCGUCAGCACUGCCCCGCCCCCGUCUGAUGGUUCUUUGUCCUCAGCACCAUGGACAGAGGCGGUGACCUUUGCUCCUGCAGGCAGCGCUGGCCACGUCUCCCUCCACACUGACAUAAACAUUUCCAUCGAGCCGCGUGGGAAACAAUAAACAUAAUGAACUUGA
Nerophis ophidion (straightnose pipefish) is the source of this 1086-nucleotide long non-coding RNA. RefSeq lists it as uncharacterized. Lineage: Eukaryota; Metazoa; Chordata; Actinopteri; Syngnathiformes; Syngnathidae. The record is from RefSeq and is a predicted model, not a curated record. The transcript has 6 exons.